AUGAAAACAAAAGCCAUGUCCUAUUUCUGCAGUGUCUCAGAAAUCUAGGCUCAGGCUGGUGGCAGAGGUUGGAGGCUGUCAGAGAGCUAAGAGGCCUCCUGGGGACAUGGCACUUGGCCUCCUUGCCUCCCCCAAUUGCCUCCCAUUUCACUUUUCUUUUCUCCUCCCCUAAAACCUCAGGGGGGAUCUUAACAAAGGGAAAAGACUCCCAACAGACCAUGUUUCUCUGCAGGGGUGGCCAUGCUGACUUUCGACAAGCCUUCAUUCUAAUGUGGCUGCUCAUCUGCUCUGAGGACAUCACAUCUACUGGAGCUAGAAACAAAUGAAAAUAGCGUGGAAAAGCUGCCAUCACAAGACAGGUCAUCACAAGACUGCUGUUUGCUCUUUCCACUGUUCAUUGCAUCCUCUUCAGGGUCAAGAAGAAGUCACCUGCCAAGGGAACAGUAGGAGAUGGAGAUGCAUUGUAUUGGUGGAGCUGUGAAGGUGGAGGUGCCUGGUACACCUUGACACAGUGACCUUGGAAGACAAGUAGCCUGGUCUCUUUUGCAUAUUGUGUUCUGAGUUCCAGAUUCAAGUACUUCCAACUGCUUCCUUGUCAUCUCCACUUGGUGAUGGAAUGAGCAGUCCAAACUUUCAUAUACUCAAUGAUAAACUCUUGACACUGUUUGGGUUUUAAGUUUAUUUUUGGAAGGGGACCCAGGGAACAAUAGUGAGGGACUAGGAAGAGUAAAAUGGAAAGAGGAAAAUCCAUUCCAAGGAACUAUGGUAGAGCUGGUUACUGCUGUGGAUACCUGGGGGCUUAGUUCCAAUGGGUGUUCUUUUAAAAGAUACACACGUUGAGCCUCAGAAUUAUCCACCUGCUCUAAACCCUCAUUGGUCAAAAACUGCCCCUGAGGUGUUAACUUCCUUGGUCUUCCAGGCUUACACAGGGACCUGAAUGGCUGAGUGAGCUUCUGGAAGAGUCCCAUGGAAAGGCUAAGAAACUCUGGGGCAAAAGGCAAGAAAUGCAAGGUGCAGCUGAGGCCACGGUGCUGCCAGGCUUCACCCACUGCAGCUUGUUGCCACAGCAACUGCUGGAACAAAAAGAGAAGAUGUCAGUGGAAGAGCAGAUGGUCCCAGAGCUUGGCGUGUAUCCUGAAGGAUUCUGUGCUCUUGAUCUUGUCCUCCAUUCUUCACAUUUUGCAGUGCAGGGGCCAAGAUGUCAGCAUGGCUAAGAAGAUGGCAGUCAUGGCCACCUCAAGUCCAGGUAUCCCCAGCUAAAGCCCAAACACCACCUAGGGGGACCUGAGAAUAUGUGCCUCUUUCUCUUUACUCCAAGACUGACUAAUAGAGCCAUGGUGUCUAUGAAAGCAUUUUGGAGAGCUCCAGUGACUAGGCUUCUCUUGGCACAAAUAUGCAAUUUCUCCUGGGGAGACAGCACAUGUGCUUUUCUGUAACUGGAGUACAUUUCAAUCUAAUAGAGAACAGGAAUAUAAUCCAGUACUAAUUUUAGAUGCCGGAUUCUUGUACAGAGCCACACUUUCAGGAAGGGAAAGAGGAAAGGCAAGUAGGUGUAUUGGCAUUGGGUUGGGGAAGCAAUUACAGAGGAAUUUUAGGACCUGCUUAAAAACACUAACACUUUCUGAACCAAGGUAGUGGUCUGCCCUAGGGAUGGGAAAAUAUGGUCUAUGGGCCAAAUCUGGCUGACUGCCUUUUUUUUUUUAAAGAAAAAAUAAUAAUAUUUUAUAGGAACACAGCCAUGCUCAUUUCUUACAAAUUGUCUAGGACUGCUUUUGUACUGCAAGGACAGAGGUGAGUAGUUGUUAUGGACAUAGUAUGGCCUUACAUGUUUACUAUCUGGACCUUUACAGAAAGAGAGUUUACUGACCCCUGGUGGAAAAAGCCAUGUACUGGGAAACUGAUUGAUCUGGAUUUUGAUUCUGCUAUGUAAUCUGGUAUGAGCACCUGGUCUACUCUCAGCCUCAGCUUUUUAACCUUUAAUAUGGUGCAUAAUUUGGGUUAAUUUACAUAAAUCCAUGCUCAUUUAAAAGUUUCUAGCUUAAAGAAAAGACUCAAUACAAACUGGCUAAACAACAAUAACAGACAAAAUAAAUGGACAUGCCUUGGGAAUUUACUGUGUACUCUGUCAAUUGCACAGAGUUAUUGUGACAAUAAAAUGAAAUCACAACUGGGAAAAUCCUGAAACCCUGAAAUUCUCUCCCAGUGACCACUGAAGCGAAAGCCCAAACUAGACCUCUGCCGUAUGCACGCAGCUGUACUUGGGCAUCAGGGGAGAGGCAAUGGUUCCACAGGUGGCCCUUCCCUGACUUGGGAAAUUCAAGUAGAGUUUAGAACUGCCCUUACCAUACCUUCCAUACUUGAAAGGAAGGCUAGGGAGAGAUUUGUUAAAGAAUACAAAGUUACAGUUAGACAGAAGCCCUGGUGUUCCAUACCACUAUAGGAUGACUCUAGCUAAUAUUAACAUAUUAUGUAGUUUCAAAUAGCUAGAAGGAGGAUAUUGACUAUUCCCAACACAAACAAAUGACAAAUGUUUGAGAUGAUAGUUAAUUACCAUAAUAUCAUUACUAUACAUUACAUGUAUCAAAACACCAUUAUGCACCCCAUGAAUGUGUACAAUCAUUAUGUGUCAAUUUUUAAAAAUCAUAAAAAAGAUAAUAAAAUCAGAAAAAAAAGUUAAAAAAAGAGGGAGUUUUUAGAUUAUUCCAAAUCAUAGAGGUAACAUGGAGGAAAAUAAAAAUAAGUGGGUUAGGGGCUGUGGGGGGCAUCUGAAGCCCAUUUGUCUUCCUGGUGCAAGUGUCCUCAGGGACUGGCCUCUUAAGAUGUGUU
This 2826-nucleotide long non-coding RNA is filed under the name Homo sapiens (human). RNAcentral's name for it is "HSALNT0121013". The record is from RNAcentral. Lineage: Eukaryota; Metazoa; Chordata; Mammalia; Primates; Hominidae.